UACGUAGGGUGCGAGCGUUGUCCGGAAUUACUGGGCGUAAAGAGCUCGUAGGUGGUUUGUCGCGUUGUUCGUGAAAACUCACAACUCAAUUGUGGGCGUGCGGGCGAUACGGGCAGACUGGAGUACUGCAGGGGAGACUGGAAUUCCUGGUGUAGCGGUGGAAUGCGCAGACAUCAGGAGGAACACCGGUGGCGAAGGCGGGUCUCUGGGCAGUAACUGACGCUGAGGAGCGAAAGCGUGGGGAGCGAACAGG
RNAcentral lists this ribosomal RNA (253 nucleotides) under uncultured bacterium. RNAcentral's name for it is "partial 16S ribosomal RNA". It matches the Rfam family "Bacterial small subunit ribosomal RNA", at positions 524 to 776 of the family's 1533-position model. The record is from RNAcentral.